GGGUGCAGUGGCCGCUAAGGGCAAAGAAGAAAAAGACAAGUAAAAAAUUCAAAACCCUAGCUUAUAGAUGACACGAUCGUGUUAUUGGCAUGUGUUAGGCCACACAGUCGUGUUUGGAGACCGUGUAAGUACCCUUAGCCCAUGUGUAACACGAAAAUUUGAAAAAAAAAUAAGCCAAGUUUUAACUCGGCUUAGGACACGCC
Molecule: long non-coding RNA, 203 nt
Filed under: Gossypium raimondii (Peruvian cotton)
Lineage: Eukaryota; Viridiplantae; Streptophyta; Magnoliopsida; Malvales; Malvaceae
Description: long non-coding RNA (GRAI_LNC001151)
Source: RNAcentral